AUCCAACUGACGAGUCUCAAAUAGGACGAAACGCCUGUUCUGGAU
Molecule: non-coding RNA, 45 nt
Organism: Schistosoma mansoni
Lineage: Eukaryota; Metazoa; Platyhelminthes; Trematoda; Strigeidida; Schistosomatidae
Source: Rfam